RNAcentral lists this ribosomal RNA (500 nucleotides) under uncultured bacterium. Its description in RNAcentral is "partial 16S ribosomal RNA". It matches the Rfam family "Bacterial small subunit ribosomal RNA", at positions 30 to 523 of the family's 1533-position model. The record is from RNAcentral.
AUUGAACGCUGGCGGCAUGCUUUACACAUGCAAGUCGAACGGCAGCACGGACUUCGGUCUGGUGGCGAGUGGCGAACGGGUGAGUAAUACAUCGGAACGUACCCAGUAAUGGGGGAUAACUAUCCGAAAGGAUAGCUAAUACCGCAUACGCCCUACGGGGGAAAGAGGGGGAUCGCAAGACCUCUUGUUAUUGGAGCGGCCGAUGGCUGAUUAGCUAGUUGGUAGGGUAAAGGCCUACCAAGGCAACGAUCAGUAGCGGGUCUUAGAGGACGAUCCGCCACACUGGAACUGAGACACGGUCCAGACUCCUACGGGAGGCAGCAGUGGGGAAUCUUGGACAAUGGGCGCAAGCCUGAUCCAGCAAUGCCGCGUGCGUGAAGAAGGCCUUCGGGUUGUAAAGCGCUUUUGUCAGGGAGCAAAUCCUUGUGGCUAAUACCCACCGGGGAUGAGAGUACCUGAAGAAUAAGGACCGGCUAACUACGUGCCAGCCGCCGCAGUAA